UAUUCACCUCUCCACUCUCAUUCAUUCACCGCCCCUUGUAUUAGUCCUUAGAUUUGGUGUUUAUUGUUUAGAAUUUUUUAUUACUCUUUGUUACUGCUUUUUCAUGUUUUUGAAUUUGUAUUAACUAUUUAGCACCAAUGAGGAAGACAUCCCAGGAAUAGGAAGUGCCGUAUGACACUUUUAAACAACACCGGCGAAGCAGUUUCCACUCUCAUCUCCCAUCCACCGUUGAUCAGUUUCCUUCCCGUUUCUGUUCGACGGUCGGGAUUUCGUGGUAUUCUGCUCCGCCGCUGUGUGUGUGAUUUGUAACGGGUCUCUGAGGUUUUUUCAAUGUUUUAAUUUAUUGGGUCCGAUGCCACGUCGACGGUAGCAAAAAUAAGCAAUGACCGAAGAAUUCAGAAAUUGAAGCAAGAGUUGAAUAAGUCUUUUGCUAUGAAAGAUUUGGGACCAACAGAUUGUUCGUGAUAGAAAGGCCAAGAAGCUGUGGUUAUUACAAGAAAAGUACGUUCAGAACGUACUUUGAAGGUUCAACAUGGAUGGAGCUAAGUUUGUCAGGACACCUUUUGCUAUGCACUUCAAAUUAAGCACGAAGCAAUGUCCUUCCGGUGAUGAUGAGAAGGAAGGUACGAAGGAAGUUCCUUAUGCUUCAGCCAUUGGCAGUAUGCUGUAUACGAUGAUUUGUACAAGAUCAAUUAUUAUUCAUGUUGUUGGUAUUGUUAGCUGUUUUCUUUCUAAUCCAGAAAGAGAGAAUUGGAAUGUUAUGAAGUGGAUUAUGAAAUAUCUUUGUGGCACUUCUAGUUUGGCAAGAACUCUACAUUUCAUGGUAGGUUAAAACAUAUUGAUGUGAUAUACAAUUGGAUUCGUGA
Long non-coding RNA from Lycium barbarum (goji berry), 866 nucleotides. RefSeq lists it as uncharacterized. The record is from RefSeq and is a predicted model, not a curated record. The transcript is spliced from 2 exons. NCBI's taxonomy places the organism in Eukaryota, Viridiplantae, Streptophyta, Magnoliopsida, Solanales, Solanaceae.